Long non-coding RNA from Anopheles arabiensis, 2009 nucleotides. RefSeq lists it as uncharacterized. NCBI's taxonomy places the organism in Eukaryota, Metazoa, Arthropoda, Insecta, Diptera, Culicidae. The transcript has 2 exons. The record is from RefSeq and is a predicted model, not a curated record.
AGUUUUAAAUUUGACUCGAUGCGUAUUAUCUCUAGGUAUGUGCAAUGCAUGUAAUAUUGCUCUUGAUUUUCAACGUUGACGGUUAAUGGCCAUCGCACAACUGGGUAUCUUCUUCAUCGUCAAACGCUGCUUCAUUUUUUGUUGAUAUCUGUGAUGGAGAAAGAAUCAUCAUCUGCAAUUUAAAAACUUUUUUACAUGGACAACAGCACUCUGUUGAGUAUUUUACACCAUAUUUAUCAACUAUUAGUUAGGGAAGAUGUUCAUCAUCUUCAUAUGUUUCAUUUUACGUUUUCUUCAAAGCAUCGUGUGUCCGGUACAAUAUUUCACUAUAUUUUAACUGGUUUGAGAUAUUUGAUAUGAUAUUUUAACAAAAGAAUAGAGAAAUGUAGCCAGCGGACAAUUAUUGCACGUUUUAAAAAGGUAAACAAUUCGUUGAUGAUCCAAUGUUCUCCUCAAACCACAAUACAAUGGCGGCUCGAUGUGGUGAAGAUAUUUAUACUCACUAGAAAAUCCGACCUCAUCAUGAUUUCAUCAUGUGAGCGGCUGUUGCCCGAUCAUCUCAUUAGAGCAAUCAUCGGCGAUAGAUCUGCUCACCAUACAAACAAAAUCAUUUGGGGAUCCCCAAAUGACAAUCCAGCCUGCUCUCACUAUGGCGAGCUCAAUGACAGCUGCUUCAACCCAUACUGAGAGGCUAUCAUCGUUUCCUGCUGCGUACUGAGCAAGCUUCUUUUCCCCUCACUGAGGCGAGAUGAUUUUGUUUGUAUGGUGAGCAAAUCUAUCACCGUUGAUUGCUCUAAUGAGAUGAUCAAGCAACAGCCGCUCACAUGAUGAAAUCCUGAUGAGGUCGGAUUUUGGAGUGAGUAAAAAUUUCUUCCCCACAUCGAGCCGCCAUUGUGUUGUGGUUUGAGGAGAACAUUGGAUCAUCUACGAAUAGUUUACAUUUGUAAAAUUGGAUCAUUUCUCGAUUCUUUUGUUGAAAGAGCAUAUCAAAUAUCCCAAAUCAGUUAAAAUAUAGUGAAAUAUUGUACCGGACACACGAUGCUUAGAAGAAAACAUAAAAUCAAACAUGGGAAGAUGAUAAACAUUUUCCCUUACUAAUAGUUGAUUUACAGCCUCUAGGCAUCAACAAAACAUGAAGCAGCGUUUAACGAUGAAGAAGAUACCCAGUUGUGCGAUAACCAUUAACGUUGAAAAUCAAGAGGAAAACAUGGAUUGAAAAUACCUAGAGAGCCUAGAACCUUUCUAGGAACACCCAGAAAAACCGCAUCGAGUUGAAUUUAAAACGGAAAAAAAUGCACCACAAAAGGCCUUAUUUGGAUUGUGUGAGAUUAUUAGCAAUGGCGGAUUAAGACGAGUGGAGGCCCUAAGCGAUCACACGAAAUUAGAGGCUUGAUUGAAGCGUUUAGAAGGGGAUUGUAUCAGAUGUCCUAGUCAGAGAAGGAUUGAGUAGCAAUUUUACUUGUGAGCGGGGCGUAGGUGCCAUUUUUGGGGCCCCUGGCCGACACAGAUGUUCGAUACUGUUAUAGAGGCGUUUUAGGGCGAAAUGUGAGAAGUGAGCCAAGUAUUGUUUUAAAUAAGUACAACAUCGUUUUAGCCAAGCCACGGCAAUAUCACAAAAGAUACUUAAACAACUGAAUACGAUGGACCACAUUAAAACUGAGAGAAAUACAUAUCUAAUCAAUUACUUAAAAAAUAAUAUAAUUGUAUUGAUUCUUGAUGUAUUUUGUAGUUCUGACCUGCAUGCACAAUUCUAAAACAUUCAUAUGAAUCACAGAAAGGCCUAAAACCUAAAGGCCUGCCUAAUAAACUCGAUAAUAGCACCCAGGAAAGAACCCUAUAAAAGCUAAAUAAAAUCACGUGCUUUUAAUGGUUUGUAGUGUAAAUUGAUUGACAGAGCCGGCUGGCCACAUGUACAUAACAUGUGCUGUUUUGCAGUGUUCUUACAUCCUCCGUUAUUUGCAAAUUCAUCCAUGCUUAGAAAGCGUACACUCCUUUUCCACUGCUAGUCA